GAUGAAGAACGUAGCGAAAUGCGAUAAGUAAUGUGAAUUGCAGAAUUCAGUGAAUCAUCGAAUCUUUGAACGCACAUUGCGCCCGUCAGUAUUCUGGCGGGCAUGCCUGUUCGAGCGUCAUUACGCCCCUCAAGUCCCCUGUGGACUUGGUGUUGGGGAUCGGCGAGGCUGGUUUUCCAGCACAGCCGUCCCUUAAAUUAAUUGGCGGUCUCGCCGUGGCCCUCCUCUGCGCAGUAGUAAAACACUCGCAACAGGAGCCCGGCGCGGUCCACUGCCGUAAAACCCCCCAACUUUUUAUAGUUGACCUCGAAUCAGGUAGGACUACCCGCUGAACUUAAGCAAAUCAAUAAGCGGAGGA
Molecule: unclassified non-coding RNA, 358 nt
Filed under: soil metagenome
Description: partial contains 5.8S ribosomal RNA, internal transcribed spacer 2, and large subunit ribosomal RNA
Rfam family: 5.8S ribosomal RNA (bases 1-120)
Source: RNAcentral